Molecule: ribosomal RNA, 494 nt
Filed under: Microtonus sp. UPOL ZL0140
Lineage: Eukaryota; Metazoa; Arthropoda; Insecta; Coleoptera; Melandryidae
Description: partial 16S ribosomal RNA
Rfam family: Bacterial large subunit ribosomal RNA
Source: RNAcentral
UUUAAAGUCUGACCUGCCCAAUGAUUUAUUUAAUGGCCGCAGUAUUUUGACUGUGCAAAGGUAGCAUAAUCAUUAGUUUUUUAAUUGAAAGCUGGAAUGAAGGGUUUAAUGAAAAAUAAGUUGUCUCGAUAUUAAAAUAAUAAUUUUAUUUUUAAGUAAAAAAGCUUAAAUUUAUUAAAAAGACGAGAAGACCCUAUAGAGUUUAAUAUUUAAAUAUAAAAUUAUUAAUGACUUAAUUAAAAAAUUUUUUAUGUGUAAUAUUUUAUUGGGGUGAUAUUAAAAUUUAAAAAACUUUUAAUUAUAAAAACCAUUAAUUAAUGAUUUUUUGAUCCAAAAUUUUUGAUUAAAAGAAAAAAUUACCUUAGGGAUAACAGCGUAAUUUUUUUUUAGAGUUCUUAUUAAAAAAAAAGAUUGCGACCUCGAUGUUGGAUUAAAAUUUAAUUUUGGUGUAGAAGCUUAAAUAUUUAGGUCUGUUCGACCUUUAAAAUUUUACA